RNAcentral lists this ribosomal RNA (449 nucleotides) under uncultured bacterium. RNAcentral describes it as "bacterial SSU rRNA". It matches the Rfam family "Bacterial small subunit ribosomal RNA", at positions 331 to 793 of the family's 1533-position model. The record is from RNAcentral.
CCAGACUCCUACGGGAGGCAGCAGUGGGGAAUAUUGGGCAAUGGGCGCAAGCCUGACCCAGCAACGCCGCGUGAAGGAAGAAGGCUUUCGGGUUGUAAACUUCUUUUGUCAGGGAAGAGUAGAAGACGGUACCUGACGAAUAAGCCACGGCUAACUACGUGCCAGCAGCCGCGGUAAUACGUAGGUGGCAAGCGUUAUCCGGAUUUACUGGGUGUAAAGGGCGUGUAGGCGGGAGAGCAAGUCAGACGUGAAAUUCCAGGGCUCAACCCUGGAACUGCGUUUGAAACUGUUCUUCUUGAGUGAUGGAGAGGCAGGCGGAAUUCCGUGUGUAGCGGUGAAAUGCGUAGAUAUCAGGAGGAACACCGGCGGCGAAGGCGGCCUGCUGGACGGAUACUGACGCUGAGGCCCGAAAGCGUGGGGAGCGAACAGGAUUAGAUACCCCAGUACUG